Molecule: long non-coding RNA, 2335 nt
Organism: Oxyura jamaicensis (ruddy duck)
Lineage: Eukaryota; Metazoa; Chordata; Aves; Anseriformes; Anatidae
Exons: 2
Source: RefSeq, a predicted model, not a curated record
UUGGGUUUUCCUACAUGCUCUCAUCCCUGUAACCUCUCUGCUACUUCUCAGGGUGCUGUGCAGAGCCUAGGCCAAGUAGUCUUUGGCUGGCUGAAUGAGAUCGGUGUGUCAGAUGGGACUUUGUCCCCCUGAUGUAGUUUCAUGAGCUGGGGUUGAAGCUUAAGGUAUCACCUUGAUUUAGUAACUAUUUUGUAAUGGCUGCUUAACUCGGGGUCGAUUUUUAAGCUGCUACUCAGCUAAUUCUCCAGGAGAGAGUUCUGAUCUGAUGGAACCAGGGUUAGCCUGGCAUCUUGCUUUGCACCUCAGAAGGCCUAAUUGCUAUAAAAGGUCUUGUCUUCUGGGGGUGGGUAUCUUGCCCUUUUACACACCAGUAUGAAACGCAAGCACUAGAUUGUGGACUUCAACCCCUUUUUGCACUUGCCCUGCUUGACAGGGUGGGCUAAGAGCUACAUCAGAGGGGAUGGGAGGGGGGGGGACUGUCUGUGUCUGCUCGCAGGAGCCUCUGAUGACAUUCUGCCAUCCGGCAGAAAGGGAUAACUGGGGCAACUCCCUUCUACUGCAUCCUAGCAGAGCUGGCAUACAAAUAUCUCUGACAAGCACAUUUUGCCUUUUAGGAGUGAGCCAGGUAUCACCAAGUGUAGGGGAAGCAAGACUUUUCCUGGGAGAGGCGGGACGCCUCUGGGCCUCUCUCAGCAUCGCCUCUCACUUCCAGUGGCCCAGGUUCAGCAGCAGGCUGUUCUGUCAGGAUAGUCAGUAUGUAUUUCAGGAGCCAAUUAUAGACAUAUAUUGUUAUAUUUGUUGUUGUUACACAGCUUCCAGCAGAGCACAAACGUCACACCAGUUGUCUGAGCAGUGCCAGCUACCCUGCUGUCCGCUGCUACUGCUGUUUGAAAAGCAUUUCUGACGGGGGUGAUAAAGUUUGGGGUAAUACCUCAGGGCCCUGCAAGCCGCCCCGUGCUGCUUAAAGAGCACUGGUCACUUGUCUCUGAAGUGUGCUCACCUGGAAUCAUGUUUCGAAGAAGCCUGUACGAAUAUCUUUGCCAAUGCUGGGGGGUAGUUAACACUGUCUGCUGUUAGGCACCCUGUAAGAGGCCGGCUCAGUUCAGAGCCAGCAAAUUCUCUGCACACCUUUUGUAGCGAAGAAGUGAGGGGGCAGUUCAGAGCAGCAGGGUAGCUAGGCCACGGCUCUGAACGCCGCGCUCACCGCACACUGCAGAGGAAGUCCAGGGAGUCUUAACUGCCUCCAGCCUUAGACAUCUGUGUUGGGUACCUGAAGUUAUGUCAUAGCAAUACUCAGCACCUUUUACCAGCAUCCAUUUGUGUGAUGGUGUCUCUCGAGCCAGUGUGGUGAGUGCUCACCCCUUGGCUUGGUGAGUGCGUGGGUGAGUAUUGGGGUGCUGUGGAGAUGCAAUUACACUUCCACUUGGAAUUCAGACCACACUGGUCCAUAAGUGACUGUCCGCACACAUGACAAGGAACCUCACUUUCUCCUGAAUGAUGCUAGAAGAUAUAAACGUUCUGAUGGUGCAGCACAGUGAAGCCUUGGAUCUGACUGCUUUCAGAGGGCAGAGGAAGGUCCGUCUACCUGGGCUGAACUGGGCAGUUUUCUCUGCCCUUGUCUGUCUGUGGAGCCAGGAAUGCAAGUUGGCAACAUCAGGGCAGCAAGAGACCAAGGAAACAGCAUGGAAAAUACUGUUGAAGUGGUGGUCAAGGUUGUGUGUCAAGGUCAGGCUGUGCCAAAGAACAGGCCAGGCUUUUAAGGAUGUGCCAGAUAUGACAGCAGAAAUAGCUCUGGAAGAAGACCCGAGAUGAGACCUGCCCUCUAUAGGAGUGACCCCUGCAACCCUGAGGUCACUGCUGAGCUGAGCAGAAGAGGGAGCACCUAUGUAGGAAUAGGAGGACCUGAGCUGUAACCAGUCCUUGCGAUGCUGGUCGCUGGUGCUGCUCCUGGAGCAUUCCAGGAGCUACAUCGAGUGUUUGAGCCAGAGGACUGUCUUGGGGCAGACUGCGCCCUUCCUAGCAGAAGUACCUAGCAGGAGCAGAAGUGUCUAGGUAGCACUUCAGAUGCCAUUGUGUGUAGAGGCAAAGGCAGCUGUUGUGUUGUUAGCCAGUGGUUUUACCAGACCUGUAGGCCUUUUCCUUCCCCUUCCAUCUGCCAGGGUGAGGAUGGCAGCAAGUGACAUGCUCCUUCUCUAUUCCUGCAGGCUGCGUCACUGCCAGCCUUCGGCAUGUAUGUAACGGUAGCUCGUAAGGUUGGACGCUGGACGUGUGAUUGGCAGUAGUUUGUAGCUGGGAGUUUUCUUUUUUGUGCUCAAUAAAGCAAACUUACACCACU